This 364-nucleotide ribosomal RNA is filed under the name uncultured bacterium. RNAcentral describes it as "partial 16S ribosomal RNA". It matches the Rfam family "Bacterial small subunit ribosomal RNA", at positions 338 to 699 of the family's 1533-position model. The record is from RNAcentral.
CCUACGGGUGGCAGCAGUGAGGAAUAUUGGUCAAUGGACGCAAGUCUGAACCAGCCAUGCCGCGUGAAGGAAGACGGCCCUAUGAGUUGUAAACUGCUUUUGUACGAGGGUAAACGCAGAUACGCGUAUCUGUCUGAAAGUAUCGUACGAAUAAGGAUCGGCUAACUCCGUGCCAGCAGCCGCGGUAAUACGGAGGAGUCAAGCGUUAUCCGGAUUUAUUGGGUGUAAAGGGUGCGUAGGCGGACGGAUAAGUCAGAGGUGAAAUCCCGAGGCUCAACUUCGGAAUUGCUUCUGAUACUGGUCGGCUAGAGAGUAGUAGAGGUAGGCGGAAUGUAUGGUGUAGCGGUGAAAUGCUUAGAGAUUA